This is a non-coding RNA of Chiloscyllium plagiosum (whitespotted bambooshark), 511 nucleotides long. The record is from RefSeq and is a predicted model, not a curated record. NCBI's taxonomy places the organism in Eukaryota, Metazoa, Chordata, Chondrichthyes, Orectolobiformes, Hemiscylliidae.
UUAAGCUGUGAUUUUAAUGAGUAAAAUACUUCUUUAUUAGUGUGAAUCAGUCCUCUUGUUCCUCCUGCUAACCAGUGAAAGCAUUCAGAAAAGUAAGACCGAGGAACAGCAUUCCAAUCAGCAAUCCAAGACCCAUCUUUGCAGUUCCUAUGAACAGACCACAUUUUCCCUCCAUCCAUAACAUCUAUUUUUUUUUUGUGUGUGCGUGUAUGUGUAUAUACACAACAGGUGCGAGAACCACCAGUUAUGGAAAUAAGAUGGAGUGAAGAUGCAGAUUACUUAGGAAUGACUCAUCCUGUUCCGAUGUUCCCAGAAACAUCACUUAUUUAUAUUUCUAAGGCUUUAAACUUUCUUGAGGAUCAAUCUUUUAGAAGCGGACGGAUAAGAAUCUGAGCAGGGAGACACAGGAGGAGAACUAAGUGUUGAAACAGAAGACAGAAAGUUUCCAGUUUGCCAGCCUGUAUGAGAGAGAAAACCCUACACUGUAAUUUUCCGAUAUUAAAUUAAAAAU